Long non-coding RNA from Acipenser ruthenus (sterlet), 6614 nucleotides. RefSeq lists it as uncharacterized. The transcript is spliced from 3 exons. NCBI's taxonomy places the organism in Eukaryota, Metazoa, Chordata, Actinopteri, Acipenseriformes, Acipenseridae. The record is from RefSeq and is a predicted model, not a curated record.
GAUGCAAUCUGUUGAUCAGUGAAGCUUAAAAAAAAAAAAAAAAGAAAGAAAAAGUAGGAAGAUUUUUUUAAAAAGGACCUGUAAAUAUUGAACCCAUUUUCUCCAGAAUGCACCAAAGACAUGGUUUAAAAUGAUAAAGAAGCAGCAUAUGGGACAUGCCACACUUAACGCCCUAUGGGAUGAAACGAACAGAGGUGGACACAUGCUUUUAUGCUUUUUAUAAUAAUGAAGAAUGCUUCAGGGGAAUACAGGCCAGAAAGAAACCUGCUAAAUGUGAGCCGUUUGGAAUUUAACAUCAAAGAAACUUAAGAUGGCUAAUACAGGCACUAGAGCAGAGACGGGAGACGGAGGAGAGACAGAGGGAGGAGAGAUACAUGGCGCUGAUUGAGAGGGUCGGUCUAGGAAACGCACCCCAAGCACCAGCAAUACCCGUGAUGUCGCCUCCUAAAGCGCGGGCGCAAAAGAUGACUGCGGAGGAUGACUAGGAGGCGUACUUGUUUGCCUUCGAGCGGUUGGCCACCACCGUGUUAUGGCCGAAGGAGUACUGGGCCAGCCAACUGGAUCCCUGUCUGAUCGGGGAAGCCCAGGCAGCGUACCAGGCCAUGAUCAACGAGGAGGCUAGCCAGUACAACCUGGUCAAACAGGCCAUCCUCCAACGCCUGAAUAUCACGGGGGAAACACACCGGGUGCGGUUCCGGGAGUAUCGGAGGCCAUGGGAGACCCACCCCAGGGUGGUUGCGCAAAAACUCUGUGACCACAUGGUGCAUUGGCUCAAUCCUGCAGAAAAGACAGGUCAACAAAUGGGAGAAGCCAUUGUCCUGGAGCAGUUCUGCCAUGUGGUCGGCACCUAGACCCAAGGACGGACACGGCACCACAACCCAGCCAUCCUGGAGGCCGCCGUCAAACUGACGGAGGAUUUUGAGGACUCACAGGUCUCCGUAAAGACAGGACUGCUGACCCCUCUCGUCGCGCCAACCACCCGCUGACCAGAGCCAUCGCCUCUCCAGCUGGGAACCAGACCUCCCAGAUCACCGACCUCAAUGGGCUGGCCCACCUCCUUACCAUGGAGGCAGCGGUUGGCCCCCAGCUGGGGUAGCUUUAUGCUAAGGCAGCGGGACAGACAGCUAACCCCAGUGCCUUCUGUCUCGAUUGUCAUGAGCAUGGACAAAUCAUGGUGAUGUGCAAUCUGGCAUCUGAAGCAGGAAAACAAAGAAAGAGAGACGGAUCAAAAAAUGGGAAGGUGCAUCCCUGAAACGAGGCUGGGGACUGGUGUAGUCGGUACGCAGUGUGACUGAGUGGACGAGGUUACUGGGCCACUCAGGGCAGAUGUUACUCCAUCCCCUCUCAAUAUAGUGGACAUGCGGGGCUCAAGCACGGACCUAGUGUGGGACCAGAAAAAUGACCCCACACUGGUGCACGCUUGGGGACAGGUCCGGUCUAUUGAAGGUAAGGAUGUUGAAGGCGCUGGGGCACUAGUAUAUCCGCACUUCAUUAUCAAGGGUCAAUUACGGGCACAGGACAGCCUGUGAUACAAUUGAUGGUCCCCCGUCGUGUCAGCCCGAGGUCAUGAGGCUGGCGCAUGACAUCCCCUUUGCAGGACACUUGGGAGCCGAAGACAGGACUGCGUGAUUUCGGGAUAACACCAAUUUAAAAAGUACCGUACUUCCUGGGGCAGCAGUGUGGAGUAGUGGUUAGGGCUCUGGACUCUUGACCGGGGGGUCGUGGGUUCAAUCCCAGGUGGGCGACACUGCUGCUGUACCCUUGAGCAAGGUACUUUACCUAGAUUGCUCCAGUAAAAAAACCCAACUGUAUAAAUGGGUAAUUGUAUGUAAAAAUAAUGUGAUAUCUUGUAACAACUGUAAGUCGCCCUGGAUAAGGUCGUCUGUUAAGAAAUAAAUAAUAAAUAAUAAUAACUGGCUGAGAAAGAGAGAGAGGAGAGCAAGUGCCUUCUACGAUGCCCCCGAACUAUGCCAUAAAGGCUACAUUUAAUAUGAUUUGUUGAAUUUAAAUGUAUGUUUGUUUUGUGUGUUGGUGGUGGUUGGCAGGGAUAGGGUUAAUUCCUAUCCCUGCCAAAAACAUGGGAUAUAAGGGGAGAAAAAUUAUUUUGCUUGGGGUUGGUGUUUGGAAAGAGGUACCUACCUACCUACCUACCUAUGAGAGUGAGUGAGAGGAGAAAGAUUUAAGAAAAAUAAUUGCUACAUGUGCAGGAAGCACGGUACUUUUUAAAUCGGUGUCAGUGUUCAUGUUUUUGUGCAAACAUUUAUUUUACUCUGUGAGCAGUGUUUUUUUUUUUUUGUACAACCUGGUUAUUUUAUUUUUGUUUAAUAAAUACGUGCACUAGCGCUUUUCACUCGCAAGUACCUGUCUGCCUCUAUCAGCUUUCUGGUCUGGGGACGUCAUCUUCACACAGCCAUCCUGUCACAUUGCCAUUAAUGUUUUAUUAAAAGUCAGAGUUUAUAUAUAACAUGACAAGAAAGGGACAUGGUUUUGAAAGGAUUGAUAUUAAAAUAAAAUAUUUACUGCUACAGUAUAUGAACAUAAGCACAGUUUCAUGUAAUAUGCAAUAAAUUAAUGGCACUUAAAAAUCAACUGACUACAGUACUUCAUUUUUCUUCUGUUGAAAAAACUAGCUGACCUGAAAGACACCAUCCAUUGGGAAAUAUUACAUACUGCUGCUCUCAAGGAAAGAAGCCUUCCUCAAGACUGCUGGCUAUAUUACAUCCAUUAAGCAACACUUUUUGACCACAGCACCUCCCUGAUAUGUCAGCCUAGAAUGUUGUUUCCCAUUAUCUGAUGGACUGGUGCCUGAAUGUAAUAUUUUUUUUAAAUUUGAUCAUUGCUUUUGUGUAUUUUAUGAUUGCUCUCUUUUGAAUGAGACUAAUUUCAGGUUAAACUUAAAAAUCAUUGUCAUAAUUGGCAGCUUGCCAAACCUCAUCCAGCAGCUGAUUAACCUGUCCUAUUAAGCAUUUAAUUUGUUCUGCUCUCUUAAAAGCCAUAGUGAUGGAUCUCUGCUCUUUGCCGCACAUACUCAUACACAGACAUUUUUAUACACUGGAUUGAAAGUGGUACUGAAAACCUUUAGUUCUGGCUGAUUAGCAAGUUAAGAUCUUAAUAUUUAUUUGAGUGUCCUAUUGAAUUAGUCUAAAGUAUGCAGCGUGUUUUACUAUUUACAGAAACCAUGUUACUUUAAAAGUCAAGUAACCAUGUGAACACUGAGUCACAACAAUAUUUUUAUUUAGACUUUAAUGCAGUGCUUUGCAUACUGAAUUCAAGAAUGUAAUUGUAAACAGUCUACUGGUUAUACGUUUGUUCUGUAAACUUGAGAGAAAGUCAUAACAACUAAAUUAUACUUUAUGUAUGGCUGUCCAUUAACUACACGCAUUCAGAAUAUGGGUAUAUAGGAAAAAAAUGAUUGACAUUCACCUGCUUGUAAAUUCAAUUAUUCUUUUUUUGAAAUGUAAUGAAAAUAAUCAGGAAUUUAAAAAGAAGACUUUAAAAAAAUAACACAUAUACACAUGAACCAAAAAAAGUAAUCCUGAAAAAAUAAAUGAUUAAAGUAUUUUAAAUCUCUUCACAUCAUCAUUAUUUUAAGCCGUAAUAAGGACACUAGAACUGCACAUACUUUGUUCAUUAGAAGUUUGGAUCUGUAUUUUAGUGCAAAACAUCUUGAAAUUCUGCUUUGGCUAAAGUUUGAGAGACAACAUUUAUAAUGCAAGCAAAGGAACAAACAAAACUAGCUUAUAAGAAGUCUCAGGCAGGCAUUAUUUAUAGAAAUUAAAAUCCAUUUAACUGUACUCAAUAAGUUAAUUGUUUAAUAAAUAUAAUCAUAAGAGAUUGCCUUUGGUCAAUAUAGGGCAGUGAACAUCCCAUUUUUUUUUCUUUUAGUUAAUUAAUAAACUGGUCUCAUCAGUAUCAGAGCUCAGUCACAAAUUCCUGGUGUGAUCGUGUGCAUGUCAGUUGAUGUCCUUGUGGCUCAGACCCACCCUGCUGUAAAAUUAGGUAGACAGAAGCCAACUGAAAAUGAGAUGCAGCACCCCAGUAGAAUCUCAAUCCUAGAUGAAUGUUAAAGCAACGAAAGGGCAUUAGCAGGCAUUUUGUUGUAUUAGCUGUAUUAACAUUAUUACUGAGCCCCCUUUUAUUGUGCUCAGAAUAUGUUGUUUCUUUUUUGUUUGGUUGUGUUUUUUUAAUCCAGGACACUACAACACUGCUUGAUCCCGGUACCUGUGAUGUAGGUAUGCAUCAUCUGGUUACAGUUAGGCCAUUGGCGUGAGUAUGAACUGCAACACAUGAGGCCAUUUCCUACCAGAAAGAAGGAGCUGCUUUUCAUCUAGGGCAUUGUAUUUUAAAACAUAUGCCUAUUCCAAAUGAUCAAAAAUGAAGGAUUAUAUUGCGAGUGAUGAUCAGAGGUAAUGGUUUGAAAAAAUCCUAAUAUUAAAGCAACAUAACUCAGAACCAUUGUGAACGAUUGCAAACAUUGUACAUACCAUUUGUAGCACUGGUUGUUGAUUCGUCCAGUACGAAAUGCUCUGGAAACGAAUAGCAAUUCUGGAAUCUGAUAGUGACUAUAUGAAAUAUGAAAAGUGGAUGUUCCUGGACAGUUUUGCUCUGGAUAAUUCAACAAUAUGCAUGUGUACCUUAAAAAACAAGAAUUCAAAGAACAGAAUAAGAUGUAAAAACCUCUUAUUAGAAUUCUAACAGCUCCUUUAUUGUUUUCCUGUAGACAUUUUGUUUUCCUAACCUUAAUUCAGGUGGCACAAAUCUUUAGGGUUACAGAUAACAGGACCCUACUCGAGCAGUACAUUUGCAUUUUAUGCUCCAUAGCAAACUGGAUGAGGGGUCAGGUGGAGUGCUAUUACACCCAUGAAGUGAACUUACAGUGUAGUGAGUGGCACAAUAUUGGAAAUGAACAUUGCCCGAGCCUUGAUUAUAAUAAUAAUAAUAGAUAACUGAGUUUUUCCGUAGGACUAUCCAAUAUCCUACUAAUCUAUUUUUCUUCAACCAUAUGUUGGAUGGAACCUAUUUAUCCACGAUGCUAAAGAAUCUAGCAAAUAAGAUUUAAAAAACAUUUAGCUUGCUGUGUGCAAACGUGGGUGGGAUUUUUUUUUUUAAAGUCCAGCUGUUAUCAACAGUUAAGUUCUACAAGUUGUGAAGUGAAGGUGGACUUCUAAGCACAUGUUUAAUGGAAAGUAGCAGUCAAGUUGACUCUUACUUUUCAGAAAAGCGCUUGUAAUAUGUGGGGUCUUUAUAGAUACGUAGCUGGAGAUUAACUCAGCGAACGCUUGGAAUUUACCAGAAUUUCAUGGGGCUUGACCAGGAUGAGGGGUGGAUUCAGUUCCAUCCAUUGGAUGUGGGAAUGCAGGGAGGCAAAGUUGGUUUUAUAUUUCGUGGUUUUUUUAUGCUGCAAUGUAGGCUUGCACUGUGGGGCCUGUUGCUUGUGUUCCACAUACAGUGUCAUGUCCUAAAUGGAGUUGAUAUAGUGGACAUGAAUGCAUUAAGAAUCCUCAGAAUUUCCCUCCCACUUAGAUUACUUAGAUUACAUUCUCCUUCUUAGACUUUGCAAAGUUGAUUAAAUAACUAUUCUAAAACAUCAUAAUGCUCAACACCAAUGAAAUAAAACUCUACUGCACAGCUCCAAGACAAAAAUACAAAGCAAUUCAAUAUAAAAUAUUCUAAAAUGAAUAAGAAAACGUUGAGGACCGUAGACGCAGUGGUCGGCCAAGGAAACUUACUGCAGCAGAUGAAAGACACAUCAUGGUACACCCAUCUACUGUCCGGAGAAGUCUGGUCAGAAGUGGCCUUCAUGGAAGACUUGCGGCCAAAAAGCCAUACCUCCAACGUGGAAACAAGGUCAAGCGACUCAACUAUGCACGAAAACACAGGAACUGGGGUGCAGAAAAAUGGCAGCAGGUGCUCUGGACUGAUGAGUCAAAAUUUGAAAUAUUUGGCUGUAGCAAAAGGCAGUUUGUUCGCCGAAGGGCUGGAGUGCGGUACACGAAUGAGUGUCUGCAGGCAACAGUGAAGCAUGGUGGAGGUUCCUUGCAAGUUUGGGGCUGCAUUUCUGCAAAUGGAGUUGGGGAUUUGGUCAGAAUUAAUGGUCUCCUCAAUGCUGAGAAGUACAGGCAGAUACUUAUCCAUCAUGCAAUACCAUCAGGGAGGCAUCUGAUUGGCCCCAAAUUUAUUCUGCAGCAUGACAACGACCCCAAACAUACAACGAAAGUCAUUAAGAACUAUCUUCAGCGUAAAGAAGAACAAGGAGUCCUGGAAGUGAUGGUAUGGCCCCCACAGAGCCCUGAUCUUAACAUCAUCGAGUCUGUCUGGGAUUACAUGAAGAGAGAGAAGCAACUGAGGCUGCCUAAAUCCACAGACGAACUGUGAUUAGUUCUCCAAGAUGUUUGGGCCAACCUACCUGCCGAGUUCCUUCAAAAACUGUGUGCAAGUGUACCUAGAAGAAUUGAUGCUGUUUUGAAGGCCAAGGGUGGUCACACCAAAAAUUGAUUUGAUGUAGAUUUUUCUUCUGUUCACUCACUUUGCAUUUUGUUAAUUGAUAAAUAUAAACUAUUAACAUGUCUAUUUUUGAAAGCAUUCUUACUUUACAGCAUUUUUUCUCACCUGCC